RNAcentral lists this ribosomal RNA (253 nucleotides) under uncultured bacterium. RNAcentral describes it as "partial 16S ribosomal RNA". It matches the Rfam family "Bacterial small subunit ribosomal RNA", at positions 524 to 776 of the family's 1533-position model. The record is from RNAcentral.
UACGGAGGGUGCAAGCGUUAAUCGGAAUUACUGGGCGUAAAGCGUGCGCAGGCGGUUUUGUAAGUCUGACGUGAAAGCCCCGGGCUCAACCUGGGAAUUGCGUUGGAGACUGCAAGGCUAGAAUCUGGCAGAGGGGGGUAGAAUUCCACGUGUAGCAGUGAAAUGCGUAGAGAUGUGGAGGAACACCGAUGGCGAAGGCAGCCCCCUGGGUCAAGAUUGACGCUCAUGCACGAAAGCGUGGGGAGCAAACAGG